UACUUUUUAUUGACUCAGUAAAACUCUUAUAACUAUUACAGACAUCUGAAUAAAACAAAUGUGGGAUUAAGUUUUAAGUGACCUACAGUCAGAUAUCUCUAGUUAAAAAUAAUGCUUACUAAAUGAAAUAUCAAAGUCCAAACACUUCAAGAAAACAAGAACAUUUUUCCCACUAAAUCCAAAAUUUAUAUCUUUAUCGAAAGCUUUGAAACAAAUAAGGCAAUUCAGUACAAUUACAGUUUCAGGGAGCCAACUUAGUUGGUGAAACAAAGAUAAUAGUGUGAGUGAAACAUUACAACACUCAUGGCUAAAGUAAUCUAAAACUGAGCAGUAUUUGCUUAGCUCAGUAAAGGUCACACAAAACAACAAAGUAUCAGGUAAACUCAAAAAAUAAAAAAAGGGUAUGUACUGUGUACAUUAAAUUAUGCCCAACACUGGGUGUCAAAAUGUAACAAAUUAGGAUAGGGAUAUGACAUGUGGGCAUUAUGUAAAUCAAAUAAUAGUGAACACCAAAAAUAAAGUAAAUUGGAAACAGGAUCUGAAAAUGCCAUCGAUUAAAACAUGAGAUGUGAGUUAUUCAUUUGCACUGAAACACAUAUGCUUAAAAGCUCUAAGCUCUCACAGGGAUCAGAGUAGAUACAUAGUUUUAGUUCCAUAUACAAGGUGCGUUCCGUAAGUAAUGUGACCAAAUUCAUAAAAAAAAAUCAUUUAUUGGAUAUAUUCAUACUAAUAGUCAAAAAUUUUCAAAAUAGCACCCUCUUGUGUCAAUACACUUCUGGAGGUGGUGUUUCCAUGCGUGGAAGGCAUCCUGGAAUGCCUUUUCCGGUAUGUCCUUUAGAGCUGAUGUAACGUGCCUGGAUGCUUUCAAUCGUGUCACAAUGUUUUCCUUUCAUGACUCCUUUUAACCGUUGCACCAGAAAAAAAAUUGGUCGCAUUACUUAUGGAACGCACGCUGUAUUUACAUAUAUAGUGAGCAGAAACUCAGAUGUAGGUAACUGCAGAGAACAAAUACAUAGAUAAUUUCUUUUUGACUGUCACAACAGCCUCAAUACAUCUGAAGGAGAACAUUACUCCACAUGCUGUAUUUCAAAUUACAUUGAGGAAUAGUGCGACUCCUGCAAAUUUAUUUCAGUUUAACAGCAUCACUUCUUCAGUGCAAAGAAAAUAACACUCAACAGCAAUGUUACUAAUUUAAGAGUGCUAAGCUACUUCCAGGAUGGCUACUCAAACUUGGAAAAUAAUUUCCUGACAAUUCCAGGUCUGAGGAGGAUGAAUGCAUCAAUACAUUGCUGACAAAGUAAUGCUAAGAGGGAAAGGUGGUGGUAGGGAGGGGGGGGGGGGCGGCGGCGGCAGCUUGGGCGGAGUACCACAAUAAUGACUUUUCCUUUAUCUCAGCUGUACUAUAUACCAGCCAUAAGCAGUUGUUUUACUAAUUUUUAACCACCACAAAUUUAAGUGGAAUAAUAUCAAUGUAAGUAACACUCUUUCAAAUAUUAGGUAUUUUGCAAUUUGCAAAACUGAAUUUCAAUGCUACAUUGGAUCACAGAAUUCCUUGGAAUUUUAUAACAUUCCUGAAAUUCCCCGAGUUUUUCCUGGUAAAAUGCUAUUCUACAUGUACAUAGGUAGUCUGCAAGCCAGCAUAUGGUACACAGCAGAGGGUAGCCUGCACCAGUACUUGCUGUUUCCUUUCCCGUUCCACUCAGAAAUAGAGCCACUGCCAUCUUGUCCUUAGCAGUGUGUAUAAUUAAAACAUUUAAAAAGAGUGCUUUUAAGUGUGAAGUUCGUGGCAACAAAUAUAAUUAUCGGAAAACGGACGGCAUAUUUCCAGAGCAUACCCACAGCAGUCUAACAAAAUGGUUCCUCAUGUUACAAAUAAUGAACCUUCACAUUCCUAUCAGUGCUAGAUAUGUGAAAGAGUUUUACUCGUAAAAGAAGUUUAAAACUCGACCAACAAGACACUCGUGGCAUAAUGAAGCUGGAGAAGAGGUUGAAGUGUAUGACAUAUACAUUUGAAGCAGAGUCAAAAAAGUGUUGGAUUGAUCACUUGCAAGCUACUCUUCAAAUACAUGUGAAAUCUGGAGUUCACUAGUGAAGGUGAAUUUUUGAAGUGGAAAGAGGAAAUUGAACAUACUACACAAUCCAGAUUCGUCAAACACCGUGACAAAGUCUGUCGGCAAUUGCUCAAUCUGUAAGUGUUUGCCAUCAUUCAGGUCAGUUUGUUUCCAAAGGUGAAGGGAUGAGACACCUCAAAAUGGCAGGUAGUAACACAUUUGAUGGAAAGUGCCCUGCAGAGAUGAAAGUCCUCUAUAAGGAUGAAAAUUGCCUUGUCAAUUGUGUGUCCACUCGUGUUGGACAUGAUCUAGACUUAAGUCAUUUGAAUCUGACACCAUAAAAGCAUAGCUGCAGACAUUGCUGUAGCAAUACUGUUUCCCAUUGUUCUUGACAAAAUUUGAUCAACAGUGCAGGAUUCAAAUUCAGAGAGGGUACAUCUCACAAAUUUGCAGGACUUGCAUAACACUGCAGCUUCUUAAAAUUUGGUUUGAAAGUCAGACAGACAUCAAAAUGAUGCCAUCAGCGUCGAAGCUUGGGUACGAGAAAUUAAGGAAAGUGAUAAUCCAUGUGCAUUAUUUUGUAAGCUUCAAAAAAUAAUCACUGACUAACAUCUGGAAUUGACAAGUGAGGAUUUCAUGUUAGUAAUAAUCAACACUGCACAAAGUGAAUUAUUGGCAAAAUGUGGAAAUGAUUGUAUUUGUGUCAAUGGGACAGAUGGUAGAAAUGUCUAUGAUUUACAACUUACCACAAUACUAGUACUGGAUGAUAUGAGGCAAGGAUUUCCAUGCACAUUUCUCAUUUCAACAGAAACGACUGAGGUAUAAAAUAUAUUUUUCAACUAUGUAAAGACUCAGGUGGGACAGAUCUGCCCCAAUCACUUGGAACAGAGCAAUGGGGCAUCCUAAAAAGAUACUUGAACGGCACCUGGCAUGUGGAUAGAGCAUGAAGGAACAACAUUAACAGUAAAGCUCUGCAUAAGGACAAGAGAACUGGGAUGUACAAGCUCGUCAAGACAUUAAUGCAGGUAAGAGAUGUUUCCAUAUUUGAAAAAUCACUGCAAAAAGCACUCUAGAAGCUCUAUAGUGAUCCAGAUACAUCCAAUUUUGUCAUUAUUAUGACCUACUAUGAAAAAAAUGCAAACUGUUGGGCAUAUUGUCACAGGAUGCAAGUUGGACUCAAUACCAACAUGCACCUGGAGAGUAUGCACAAGGCUUUGAAAUAUGUACAUGCUAAUGUGAAGGAAGUGAAAA
Long non-coding RNA from Schistocerca cancellata (South American locust), 3302 nucleotides. RefSeq lists it as uncharacterized. NCBI's taxonomy places the organism in Eukaryota, Metazoa, Arthropoda, Insecta, Orthoptera, Acrididae. The record is from RefSeq and is a predicted model, not a curated record. The transcript has 2 exons.